UGGGGAAUAUUGCACAAUGGGCGCAAGCCUGAUGCAGCCAUGCCGCGUGUGUGAAGAAGGCCUUCGGGUUGUAAAGCACUUUCAGCGGGGAGGAAGGCGAUAAGGUUAAUAACCUUGUCGAUUGACGUUACCCGCAGAAGAAGCACCGGCUAACUCCGUGCCAGCAGCCGCGGUAAUACGGAGGGUUCAAGCGUUAAUCGGAAUUACUGGGCGUAAAGCGCACGCAGGCGGUCUGUCAAGUCGGAUGUGAAAUCCCCGGGCUUAACCUGGGAACUGCAUUCGAAACUGGCAGGCUAGAGCCUUGUAGAGGGGGGUAGAAUUCCAGGUGUAGCGGUGUAAUGCGUAGAGAUCUGGAGGAAUACCGGUGGCGAAGGCGGCCCCCUGGACAAAGACUGACGCUCAGGUGCGAAAGCGUGGGGAGCAAACAGG
This 429-nucleotide ribosomal RNA is filed under the name Chloroflexota bacterium. RNAcentral's name for it is "Chloroflexi bacterium partial 16S ribosomal RNA". It matches the Rfam family "Bacterial small subunit ribosomal RNA", at positions 355 to 776 of the family's 1533-position model. Lineage: Bacteria; Bacillati; Chloroflexota. The record is from RNAcentral.